GAUGAACGCUGGCGGCGUGCUUAACACAUGCAAGUCGAACGAUGAUCCGGUGCUUGCACCGGGGAUUAGUGGCGAACGGGUGAGUAACACGUGAGUAACCUGCCCUUAACUCUGGGAUAAGCCUGGGAAACUGGGUCUAAUACCGGAUAUGACUCCUCAUCGCAUGGUGGGGGGUGGAAAGCUUUUUGUGGUUUUGGAUGGACUCGCGGCCUAUCAGCUUGUUGGUGAGGUAAUGGCUUACCAAGGCGACGACGGGUAGCCGGCCUGAGAGGGUGACCGGCCACACUGGGACUGAGACACGGCCCAGACUCCUACGGGAGGCAGCAGUGGGGAAUAUUGCACAAUGGGCGCAAGCCUGAUGCAGCGACGCCGCGUGAGGGAUGACGGCCUUCGGGUUGUAAACCUCUUUCAGUAGGGAAGAAGCGAAAGUGACGGUACCUGCAGAAGAAGCGCCGGCUAACUACGUGCCAGCAGCCGCGGUAAUACGUAGGGCGCAAGCGUUAUCCGGAAUUAUUAGGCGUAAAGAGCUCGUAGGCGGUUUGUCGCGUCUGCCGUGAAAGUCCGGGGCUCAACUCCGGAUCUGCGGUGGGUACGGGCAGACUAGAGUGAUGUAGGGGAGACUGGAAUUCCUGGUGUAGCGGUGAAAUGCGCAGAUAUCAGGAGGAACACCGAUGGCGAAGGCAGGUCUCUGGGCAUUAACUGACGCUGAGGAGCGAAAGCAUGGGGAGCGAACAGG
This 736-nucleotide ribosomal RNA is filed under the name uncultured Actinomycetes bacterium. RNAcentral's name for it is "bacterial SSU rRNA". It matches the Rfam family "Bacterial small subunit ribosomal RNA", at positions 28 to 776 of the family's 1533-position model. The record is from RNAcentral. Lineage: Bacteria; Bacillati; Actinomycetota; Actinomycetes.